CGGAAUGAUGAUAGAUCCUAUCCGAAGUUUAUCACAUUUUCAGUUUAAUAAGAAGAUCAGAGUCCGUGUAUGCAGAAUUUGGAGACCUAAGGUUAUAGGAAAGGAUGCGUUUGGUGGUCUUCAAUGUAUAUUGGUUGACGAAAUGAAAGAUGCAAUUCAAGCCUCUGCAAAAGAAAUUGAUUAUGAGAAUGUUGCUCCAAAAAUUAAAGCUAAUCAUGUUUAUGAGAUCACUCGCUUUUCUACCAGUCGUUG
Non-coding RNA from Malus domestica (apple), 252 nucleotides. The record is from RefSeq and is a predicted model, not a curated record. Lineage: Eukaryota; Viridiplantae; Streptophyta; Magnoliopsida; Rosales; Rosaceae.